This 208-nucleotide ribosomal RNA is filed under the name uncultured bacterium. RNAcentral's name for it is "partial 16S ribosomal RNA". It matches the Rfam family "Bacterial small subunit ribosomal RNA", at positions 1293 to 1500 of the family's 1533-position model. The record is from RNAcentral.
UCGGAUUGCAGUCUGCAACUCGAGUGCAUGAAGCUGGAAUCGCUAGUAAUCGCGGAUCAGAAUGCCGCGGUGAAUACGUUCCCGGGUCUUGUACACACCGCCCGUCACACCAUGGGAGUCGGGAAUGCCCGAAGCCGGUGGCCCGAUCGAAAGAAGGGAGCCGUCGAAGGCAGGCCGGAUGACUGGGGUGAAGUCGUAACAAGGUAAC